CUGUUCGCUGAAGUGUUAUUUACCAUAAUUGUACUCUUCGAUGAAUGUUGCAGUAAAUUGUGGUACCAGACAAGUGAGUCAUUGAUCUGCCAAUUAUUGGUAGGUGGUUUGGUUUACUUUGUGGUCUAGGAAUUCAAUGCAUUCUGUUGGAACUGAAGAGUUAAUGAUCUUUCAUCUGAGUGAUUUUAUAGUUGGUUGCCAGUUGUGACUAGUUUGCUGGAAUGAUAAUUUCUUUGCUUAACAUGUUCCAUGGCUAGGUUGCUUGGUACUAGAAUAAAUUUUCCACUUGGAGGAUGUUACUGUAGAAUAUUCUGAUUUAUGGUGAUUUUGCCGUAAUGUUACUGGGUUUCUAAGACCAGAAGCUGUUUAACAGACGCGGCGUUUUCGGGGAAGACUUCAUUCGUUAUUGGAAUUGUUUCCGUGAAUUCUAUUUGUAGAUUUAAAUUAAAUUGAUCAAAAUCCAAGUGGUGUUGGUUGAUGUCUGUCUGAGGAUGACCUAGGGUGCUGGUGAUUUUUUUACUAUAGAAGCGACCACGUAGUAGGCGAUAAGUCUGUUUGGGUCCAAAGCGUUGCCUGUUUGAUUCUACAUCCGGCCUUACUUUAUUGAAAGUGCUGUACCUUCGUUAACGGAGUCUUUCGAACGGCCACGCACGAAUCAAAAUCCUUUUUGAGAUUUUAGAAACAAGAUGUUGAGCAGGUGUUACUAAUGCUAUGGUUGAUAUUGCUGGUUCCGGUGAUUUCCGAGAAAAGCAUGCAGAUGGAAAUUGGAGGCAAAUGUUGAGACGGUGUCCGAAAAUUUCCUAUUAAAUUUUCUCGUAUUUUUGUACUUGAUGGAAAGCUUUUUAGUGAAUAUCUGGGCUCUUGUUUAUUGUGGCCAUGUUUCCAUUGACUUGUGAUAGAUUUGUGGCGUUGUAAAUUGUUGAAUGAUGUGGAGACUUGGAAUUUUUGUUGUCAGCUGACGAUAGGCAUACGAAAAAAUGCUAAUGAACUAUAUGUGUUAAUGGUAAAACUCGCAUGGGUAAUGCUAUUUUCCUCUAACUAGCCACCUUACGGGUAAUAUCUGCUAUUGGUCUAUUGUUGUGGUUAUCCCGUCCUAACUAAUAAGAUAGCGUUUACAUUAUUGUGAUGGUAUCUCAAUAAACAAUUUGAAUCGA
Molecule: long non-coding RNA, 1154 nt
Filed under: Daphnia magna
Lineage: Eukaryota; Metazoa; Arthropoda; Branchiopoda; Diplostraca; Daphniidae
Description: uncharacterized LOC116931279, transcript variant X4
Source: RNAcentral